GAUGAACGCUGGCGGCGUGCCUAAUACAUGCAAGUCGAGCGAAUGGAUUAAGAGCUUGCUCUUAUGAAGUUAGCGGCGGACGGGUGAGUAACACGUGGGUAACCUGCCCAUAAGACUGGGAUAACUCCGGGAAACCGGGGCUAAUACCGGAUAACAUUUUGAACCGCAUGGUUCGAAAUUGAAAGGCGGCUUCGGCUGUCACUUAUGGAUGGACCCGCGUCGCAUUAGCGAGUUGGUGAGGUAACGGCUCACCAAGUCAACGAUGCGUAGCCGGCCUGAGAGGGUGGUCGGCAACACGGGGACUGAGACACGGCCCAGACUCCGACGGGAGGCAGCAGUAGGGAAUCUUCAGCAAUGGACGAAAGGCUGACGGAGCAACGCCGCGUGAGGGAUGAAGGCUUUCGGGUCGUAAAACUCUGUUGUUAGGGAAGAACAAGUGCUAGUUGAAUAAGCUGGAACCUUGACGGUACCUAACCAGAAAGCCACGGCUAACUACGUGCCAGCCGCCGCGGUAA
RNAcentral lists this ribosomal RNA (515 nucleotides) under uncultured bacterium. RNAcentral's name for it is "partial 16S ribosomal RNA". It matches the Rfam family "Bacterial small subunit ribosomal RNA", at positions 28 to 523 of the family's 1533-position model. The record is from RNAcentral.